UCGACUGGGCAGUAGAGGCAAGUUGCCCAAAUUCGCUAACUUCCAUCCCGCAAUUCCGCUGAACUCGGCCCGAAAAGCCCCCUCUUGCCUCAAUUCCCCGAAGUAAAUCUGAGCUUUGUGCAGCUCCGGAGCCAGAGCGUCCAGAUGCGGUCCGGGAGAUUAGCAAAGUCGGUGGAAGCCAAGCUGGAGAAAGCGCGGGCGCAGGGAGAAAAGUAGCCCCAAGUGCCCUGCAUUUGCUCUUCUAACAAAGUUCUGUUUGUUGACGGACUGACCGGCUUACUGACACAAAGAUGGGAAGCAAAUGGAGAGACGGAUCAAGGCCCUUCCUCGGCAUCUGGAGGAAGCUUGGGCGAGUGCCUUGGUCGCCAGAGAUGGGGUUUCGUGAUGUUGCGCAGUUCUUGAACUCCUGAGCUCCAGUGAUCAGUCUGCCUUGGCUGCCCAAAGUGCUGCGAUUACAAGUGUGAGCCACCGCGCUGGCCUAUAAUGUGUUCUUUAC
Molecule: long non-coding RNA, 496 nt
Organism: Pan troglodytes (chimpanzee)
Lineage: Eukaryota; Metazoa; Chordata; Mammalia; Primates; Hominidae
Exons: 3
Source: RefSeq, a predicted model, not a curated record